UACGGAGGGGGCUAGCGUUGUUCGGAAUUACUGGGCUUGAAGCGCACGUAGGCGGCGUUGUAAGUGUCGGGUGAAAUCCCACGGCUCACCCGUGGAACUGCCCGGCAUACUGCGAUGCUAGAGUGUGGUAGGGGAGAGCGGAACUCCUGGUGGAGCGGUGAAAUGCGUAGAUAUCAGGAGGAACACCGGUGGCGAAGGCGGCUCUCUGGUCCACAACUGACGCUGAGGUGCGAAAGCUAGGGGAGCAAACGGG
Molecule: ribosomal RNA, 253 nt
Filed under: uncultured bacterium
Lineage: Bacteria
Description: partial 16S ribosomal RNA
Rfam family: Bacterial small subunit ribosomal RNA
Source: RNAcentral